AUGAUCCACUUGGAGGCAUCCCUGAUCUAAUUGCUAUGGGUACAAAUUGCUUUUCCUAUGACUGUUGAUUAAAACCCUGAUUGCCUUUUCCAGCUUUCAGCAAUGUACCACAGCCUGCCACUCAAAACAAAAGUAGAGUGGAUUCACAUAACAGAAAUGAGGAAAGAUUCUCUAAACUGAGCAAUGGAAAAGGAAUUCCAGAAACUCAGGAAAGAGAUCCAGAAUCCCAACAGAAUUCUUGCAGAGUUGAAGAAUUAAAGAAGAUAUUUGAGCCUCCAGCCUUAACCCAUGGGCCAGAGAAACCCCCACAGAAGGAAGGCAGAGUGGAGUCACCAAAGAGAGUCCAAACCAACUGCUCCAAGCAGAGCAAGGGAAAUGAAGAUCCAGUAAUUCUGGAAAGAGCCUUAACCUACAAGCCAGUGAAAUCAUCCCAGAAGGAAAGCAGCAUGGAUUCACAUAAGAGAGUCCAAGCAAGUCGCUCUAAGUCGAGCAAAGGGAAUGCAGAUCCAGAAAUUCUGGAAAGAGGUAACUGGGAGGUAGCUGAAAGAA
Molecule: non-coding RNA, 549 nt
Organism: Meleagris gallopavo (turkey)
Lineage: Eukaryota; Metazoa; Chordata; Aves; Galliformes; Phasianidae
Source: RefSeq, a predicted model, not a curated record